ACGGGAGGCAGCAGUGAGGAAUAUUGGUCAAUGGGCGAGAGCCUGAACCAGCCAUGUCGCGUGGAGGAAUAAGGAUCUAUGGUUCGUAAACUCCUUUUGCGGGGGGAUAAAGUGCGGGACGCGUCCCGUUUUGUAGGUACCCCGCGAAUAAGCAUCGGCUAACUCCGUGCCAGCAGCCGCGGUAAUACGGAGGAUGCGAGCGUUAUCCGGAUUUAUUGGGUUUAAAGGGUGCGCAGGCGGCACGUUAAGUCAGCGGUGAAAUGUCGGGGCUCAACCCGGGCACUGCCGUUGAAACUGGCGAGCUUGAGUACGGAUGAAGUCGGCGGAAUGUGAUGUGUAGCGGUGAAAUGCUUAGAUAUGUCACAGAACACCGAUUGCGAAGGCAGCUGACUAAUCCGCAACUGACGCUCAGGCACGAAAGCGUGGGGAUCGAACAGGAUUAGAUACCCUGGUA
Molecule: ribosomal RNA, 454 nt
Filed under: uncultured Porphyromonadaceae bacterium
Lineage: Bacteria; Pseudomonadati; Bacteroidota; Bacteroidia; Bacteroidales; Porphyromonadaceae
Description: partial 16S ribosomal RNA
Rfam family: Bacterial small subunit ribosomal RNA
Source: RNAcentral